This 253-nucleotide ribosomal RNA is filed under the name uncultured bacterium. Its description in RNAcentral is "partial 16S ribosomal RNA". It matches the Rfam family "Bacterial small subunit ribosomal RNA", at positions 524 to 776 of the family's 1533-position model. The record is from RNAcentral.
UACGUAGGGCGCAAGCGUUAUCCGGAAUUAUUGGGCGUAAAGAGCUCGUAGGCGGUUUGUCGCGUCUGCCGUGAAAGUCCGGGGCUCAACUCCGGAUCUGCGGUGGGUACGGGCAGACUAGAGUGAUGUAGGGGAGACUGGAAUUCCUGGUGUAGCGGUGAAAUGCGCAGAUAUCAGGAGGAACACCGAUGGCGAAGGCGGUUCUCUGGGCAUUACCUGACGCUGAGGAGCGAAAGUGUGGGGAGCGAACAGG